GUGGAUGCUAGCCUUAAGGACUAAGCCAUGCAAGCCAGCGAAGGUAACGAAGCGGUGAACGGCUCAGUAGGACAGGGUUUAUCUGGCCAGCAUUAGGGAUAACCACGGUAAGCUGUGGCUAAUACUAAGUUGGGUGAGACCCUGGCCUAUUAGCUUGACGGUACGGUAAGUGCGUACUGUGGCGAUGAUGGGUAGCGGGGAAUCGGGGUUUGAUUCCGGAGAGGGAGCCUGAGAGAUGGCUGCCACGUCCAAGGACGGCUGCAGGCGCGAAAAUUACCCACUUGGAGGACCAGAGGUAGUGACGAGGCGUUAAUAAUGAGAAUAGUGUAAACAGCUAUUUGAAGGCAAUUGGAGGGCAAGUCUGGUGCCAGCAGCCGCGGUAAUUCCAGCUCCAAGAGCAUCUGUGUGUGUUGCUGCGGUUAAAGAGUGCGUAGUCUGAUUUUUUGCCAGCAAUAAAGGUGCGAUAUCCAUUCGUGCAUUGUGCUGGUACUUUAAUCUAGGAACCGGAGUAGGGCAAUAUUAUUCGACAGCGAGGGGUGAAAACUGAUGACCUGUUGAGGAGUGACCGAGGCGAAAGCGGUUGUCCGGGACGGGUUCGACGAUCAAGCGCGUGAGCAGGAGGAUCGAAGGCGAUUAGAGACCGUCGUAGUUCCUGCAGUAAACGAUGCCAACAGGGAUGCAAGUUCUGUGUCCUAAGGGAAACCGAGUGUAUAGGCUCCGGGGAUAGUACGGGCGCAAGCCAGAAACUUGAAGAAAUUGACGGAAGGACACCACAAGGAGUGGAGUGUGCGGGUUAAUUUGACUCAACGCGGGGCAACUUACCAGGGCAAGCAAUGUUGCGAGAAGGGCAUGUAUAA
Molecule: ribosomal RNA, 857 nt
Filed under: Agglomerata cladocera
Lineage: Eukaryota; Fungi; Microsporidia
Description: SSU rRNA
Rfam family: Microsporidia small subunit ribosomal RNA
Source: RNAcentral